CCCGGGGGCAGAAAAAAUGCCCCUCCUCUCAGACCACCUGCUUCAUCCCAGAACCGCCCAUUCCUCUCCAAGACACCCAUUUCACUACAAAGGCCGGCUCUCCCAAGGCCUCCUCCCGGAGAAAGCGUCCCUUUUAGGCUCUACCCCGUCAAUCUCCGGCCGCUCACAAACACUUGUUUGACCUCCGGGCUCCCGCCCGACCCUCGGUCACCUGGGUCAUUCCAUCAAUCCCCGAGAUUCACAGGAGCGCCCGCCCAUGCCCCAGCCCACCCGCUAGGCCGCAGGCCGGUCGGCGACAGGCACCUCACCAGGUGCUGUCACCCGCUGCGACCCUCCCCACCUGGCCCCCACCCGCUUCCCCACGGUGGAGGAGGGGCGCGCCCGCGAGCCUGGAGCGACGCGGGUGGGUCCGCGUGCCCGCUAAGCGUGGCUGACAAAGAGCGGGGACGCGCGACCGAGGACCAACAGGGCGCUGGGGCCAGCGGCCGAGCCCUGGGGCCGGGAAGCGACCUUCCCCGCCCAGCCCUGCCCGCUCCCGAAGGUCCGGCGCCGGGCCCCGGCAGGGCUCCGUGUCCCAUUUUACCGGGGAACACGCCUCCCUUCCACCCUGGCAGCGCCUGCACAGGGGAAACCCCAGCUCCGCGUCUUCACCGCUCCCCGGCUCCGGCCGCGGGGGCUGCAGGUGCGAGACCCGCACGGCCGCUGUGCCCGGGCCUGUCAAGCCGCCUGUCCACGGCCGCCGGCUGCCGGGGGCUGGGGCGCGGCUGCCUGGGGCGAUCAAUCACUGCACCCCGCUCACCGGGUAGGGCGCCUGCAUCCAACCCCGCGCCUCGUGCCUUACCCUGGGAGCCGAAGGAGGAAGAAAACGGACCCGCGGCGGCAGCGAGCUGGAGCUCAGUCGAGGGGAGCGUGGCGGAGCCGAGGGGAGCGGCUCCCACAAUGGCCGAGCUCGCGGCGCCGAGCCCCCCCCCCCCCCCCCCCCCCCCGCCCCGGCCGCAGCCGAGCCGGCGCAGCCGCCCAACCCGCUCCCCCACUCCCAGCGCCGACGCCGCCCCCCGCCCCCCGAUGCGCGCUCCCCCCGCCCUGCACCCCACCCUUGCGCUUGCGCUCGCCCCGCGCUCCCCUGCCUGUCCGUCGCCCCGCGCCCCCUCCGCACUGACCCCGCGUCCUCUUGCCGCCUCCAGGCGGUCCCUCCCCUCUGCAGCUCCUCCCCGGUGGCCUCCGGUGUCUCCCCCAGGCCAACCACACCCCCAAAUUCCCCGCCCUCUGCUCCGCGACCUCUCCGCCCCGGCCCCGCGGCCGCUCGCUGACCCUGGGCCAGCUCAGCCGGCCCGCCCCCUUGGAGUUCCUCACCGUCCCCAAGUCGCUCUCUCAGGCUGCCGAGCUGUCCGUCUGCCCAGACCCUGA
RNAcentral lists this long non-coding RNA (1407 nucleotides) under Papio anubis (olive baboon). RNAcentral's name for it is "lncRNA (ENSPANG00000041935.1)". The record is from RNAcentral. Lineage: Eukaryota; Metazoa; Chordata; Mammalia; Primates; Cercopithecidae.